UGGGGAAUUUUGGACAAUGGGGGCAACCCUGAUCCAGCCAUGCCGCGUGAGUGAAGAAGGCCUUCGGGUUGUAAAGCUCUUUCGGCUGGGAAGAAAUCGUGGUGGCUAAUAUCUGCCACGGAUGACGGUACCAGCAUAAGAAGCACCGGCUAACUACGUGCCAGCAGCCGCGGUAAUACGUAGGGUGCGAGCGUUAAUCGGAAUUACUGGGCGUAAAGCGUGCGCAGGCGGUUGUGUAAGACAGAGGUGAAAUCCCCGGGCUUAACCUGGGAACUGCCUUUGUGACUGCACAGCUAGAGUAUGGAAGAGGGGGGUGGAAUUCCACGUGUAGCAGUGAAAUGCGUAGAGAUGUGGAGGAACACCGAUGGCGAAGGCAGCCCCCUGGGCCAAUACUGACGCU
Molecule: ribosomal RNA, 400 nt
Filed under: uncultured bacterium
Lineage: Bacteria
Description: bacterial SSU rRNA
Rfam family: Bacterial small subunit ribosomal RNA
Source: RNAcentral